This 293-nucleotide ribosomal RNA is filed under the name uncultured bacterium. RNAcentral describes it as "partial 16S ribosomal RNA". It matches the Rfam family "Bacterial small subunit ribosomal RNA", at positions 775 to 1067 of the family's 1533-position model. The record is from RNAcentral.
GGAUUAGAUACCCUGGUAGUCCACGCCGUAAACGAUGUCAACUAGCUGUCUGUGUCCUCGCGACGUGGGUAGCGCAGCUAACGCACUAAGUUGACCGCCUGGGGAGUACGGCCGCAAGGUUAAAACUCAAAUGAAUUGACGGGGGCCCGCACAAGCGGUGGAGCAUGUGGUUUAAUUCGAUGCAACGCGAAGAACCUUACCAUCCCUUGACAUCCAGUGAAUUUUCUAGAGAUAGAUUAGUGCCUUCGGGAACACUGAGACAGGUGCUGCAUGGCUGUCGUCAGCUCGUGCCG